RNAcentral lists this ribosomal RNA (924 nucleotides) under Triticum aestivum (bread wheat). RNAcentral describes it as "partial small subunit ribosomal RNA". The record is from RNAcentral. Lineage: Eukaryota; Viridiplantae; Streptophyta; Magnoliopsida; Poales; Poaceae.
AUGAACCGGCAGAGAUUUCUCCCGCAUCCCCAAGCACCGCUACCCACUCGAACCGGGGCCAUCCAACCAUCUUGCCACCCGCAAGCACGCGCCACCACGGUCUUGGACACAUCCACGCCGCCCCGCUGCGAACACCACCAUGAGGCCAAGGAGACCGGAAAGAAGCACCAAGCGACGGGAGGAACCACACCGAAGCCAAGCGGGAGGGAACCACCUCCCCCGCCGACGCGCGGGAGGCCCGAGCCCCCGGUGACGUCGCGGUCGCCGUCCGGACGUGGCAGCAGGGCACACCAGGCCACCCUUGGCCCGGCCAGGCCUGCAACGGGCCCGCAAAGCCCCAUCAGCCAUGCUGCAGCAAGCCGGCACCUACGCCGCCCGCUCCCAGCCGCCAACGCCCCUCUCCCGCCUCCUGGAGGCCACGCCGCCGGCCCGACCCGCCGUCGGCCCUCCCAAACCCAGAUGGGGCCCGAAGGGCCUAGAUCUGGGCUGAGAGGGCUGGUUCAAGCCGAGCCGCCGCGCCACCCCGCCGCCAACGGCGACGCCGUCGCCCAGUCGUUCACCCACGCCGCGCCAGGAUCUCCGCCGCCACGUCGGACCGCCGCUGCCGAAGAGCACCUCCCGGCGCACACCGCCCCACGCCGGGGAGCACCGAGAGGGGAAGGGCUAGAGGCCGCCGCCGCCAGCGACCCAGGGGCCAGGCCCGGCCGCGGGUGCCGGCGACGGCGGCGGGGAGGGAGGGAAGGGGGGGCUCUAGAGGAGGGGGCGCCGGAGCACGGCCGGUCGCCCGCGGGGACAACGCGGUCGCGCGAGAGGAGGAGGGGGGGCAGACUCCUUUUGUCUCUUCCGGAACAAGUGGACUAUCAUGUUUUAUCCAUGUGCCCGACAAUCAAAUCAAGUCAGAUAGUGACUCCAACUUCUUAUUAA